CUACACAUGCAAGUCGAGCGGAUGAGAAGAGCUUGCUCCUCGAUUCAGCGGCGGACGGGUGAGUAAUACCUAGGAAUCUGCCUGGUAGUGGGGGACAACGUUUCGAAAGGAACGCUAAUACCGCAUACGUCCUACGGGAGAAAGCAGGGGACCUUCGGGCCUUGCGCUAUCAGAUGAGCCUAGGUCGGAUUAGCUAGUUGGUGAGGUAAUGGCUCACCAAGGCUACGAUCCGUAACUGGUCUGAGAGGAUGAUCAGUCACACUGGAACUGAGACACGGUCCAGACUCCUACGGGAGGCAGCAGUGGGGAAUAUUGGACAAUGGGCGAAAGCCUGAUCCAGCCAUGCCGCGUGUGUGAAGAAGGUCUUCGGAUUGUAAAGCACUUUAAGUUGGGAGGAAGGGCAGUAAGCGAAUACCUUGCUGUUUUGACGUUACCGACAGAAUAAGCACCGGCUAACUCUGUGCCAGCAGCCGCGGUAAUACAGAGGGUGCAAGCGUUAAUCGGAAUUACUGGGCGUAAAGCGCGCGUAGGUGGUUCGUUAAGUUGGAUGUGAAAUCCCCGGGCUCAACCUGGGAACUGCAUCCAAAACUGGCGAGCUAGAGUAGGGCAGAGGGUGGUGGAAUUUCCUGUGUAGCGGUGAAAUGCGUAGAUAUAGGAAGGAACACCAGUGGCGAAGGCGACCACCUGGG
This 689-nucleotide ribosomal RNA is filed under the name Pseudomonas japonica. RNAcentral describes it as "bacterial SSU rRNA". It matches the Rfam family "Bacterial small subunit ribosomal RNA", at positions 49 to 733 of the family's 1533-position model. The record is from RNAcentral. Lineage: Bacteria; Pseudomonadati; Pseudomonadota; Gammaproteobacteria; Pseudomonadales; Pseudomonadaceae.